UGCGUAGGCGGUUUGUUAAGUCUGACGUGAAAUCCCCGGGCUCAACCUGGGACGUGCGUUGGAAACUGGCGAUCUAGAGUACGGUAGAGGGUGGUGGAAUUCCCGGUGUAGCAGUGAAAUGCGUAGAUAUCGGAAAGAACAUCAGUGGCGAAGGCGACAACCUGGAUCUUAACUGACACUGAGGCGCGAAGGCGUGGGGAGCAAACAGGAUUAGAUACCCUAGUA
RNAcentral lists this ribosomal RNA (225 nucleotides) under uncultured Silanimonas sp. Its description in RNAcentral is "partial 16S ribosomal RNA". It matches the Rfam family "Bacterial small subunit ribosomal RNA", at positions 568 to 792 of the family's 1533-position model. Lineage: Bacteria; Pseudomonadati; Pseudomonadota; Gammaproteobacteria; Lysobacterales; Lysobacteraceae. The record is from RNAcentral.